AAGAUCAUACUUCACAGGAUCAUUUCUGUAGUAUAUCUUCACAUCCUCUCUACUCAAUUGUGGAGUCGAUACAGCCACGAUGACGAGGAAUAAUCCUCUUCUCUGAGCGUGAGGACGACUGAUAUCUCGAUUUUUUUCGAGAAAUCAGUCAUCGAUGAUCGUUCACCUCUUGAACUUGUUCAAGAGGCAUGAGAAGUGGAUAUUCUGAGUGGU
Molecule: small nucleolar RNA, 213 nt
Filed under: Cotesia glomerata
Lineage: Eukaryota; Metazoa; Arthropoda; Insecta; Hymenoptera; Braconidae
Description: small nucleolar RNA U3
Rfam family: Small nucleolar RNA U3
About the family: Small nucleolar RNAs (snoRNAs) are involved in the processing and modification of rRNA in the nucleolus. There are two main classes of snoRNAs: the box C/D class, and the box H/ACA class.
Source: RNAcentral